GAUGAACGCUGGCGGCGUGCCUAAUACAUGCAAGUCGAGCGAACGGACGAGAAGCUUGCUUCUCUGAUGUUAGCGGCGGACGGGUGAGUAAAACGUGGAUACCCUACCUAUAAGACUGGGAUAACUUCGGGAAACCGUAGCUAAUACCGGAUAAUAUUUUGAACCGCAUGGUUCAAAAGUGAAAGACGGUCUUGCUGUCACUUAUAGAUGGAUCCGCGCUGCAUUAGCUAGUUGGUAAGGUAACGGCUUACCAAGGCAACGAUGCAUAGCCGACCUGAGAGGGUGAACGGCCACACUGAGACUGAGACACGGUCCAGACUCCUACGGGAGGCAGCAGUAGGGAAGCUUCCGCAAUGGGCGAAAGCCUGACGGAGCAACGCCGCGUGAGUGAUGAAGGUCUUCGGAUCGUAAAACUCUGUUAUUGGGGAAGAACAUAUGUGUAAGUAACUGUGCACAUCUUGACGGUACCUAAUCAGAAAGCCACGGCUAACUACGUG
This 497-nucleotide ribosomal RNA is filed under the name uncultured bacterium. Its description in RNAcentral is "partial 16S ribosomal RNA". It matches the Rfam family "Bacterial small subunit ribosomal RNA", at positions 28 to 507 of the family's 1533-position model. The record is from RNAcentral.